Molecule: ribosomal RNA, 253 nt
Filed under: uncultured bacterium
Lineage: Bacteria
Description: partial 16S ribosomal RNA
Rfam family: Bacterial small subunit ribosomal RNA
Source: RNAcentral
UACGUAGGGGGCAAGCGUUGUCCGGAUUUACUGGGCGUAAAGGGCGCGUAGGCGGCCUGUUAAGUCGAACGUGAAAUCCCCGGGCUCAACCCGGGAACUGCGUCCGAUACUGGCAGGCUUGAAUUCGGGAGAGGGAUGCGGAAUUCCAGGUGUAGCGGUGAAAUGCGUAGAUAUCUGGAGGAACACCGGUGGCGAAGGCGGCAUCCUGGACCGAGAUUGACGCUGAGGCGCGAAAGCUAGGGGAGCAAACGGG